This 465-nucleotide ribosomal RNA is filed under the name uncultured bacterium. Its description in RNAcentral is "partial 16S ribosomal RNA". It matches the Rfam family "Bacterial small subunit ribosomal RNA", at positions 28 to 507 of the family's 1533-position model. The record is from RNAcentral.
GAUGAACGCUGGCGGCGUGCUUAACACAUGCAAGUCGAACGGAAAGGCCCAAGCUUGCUUGGGUACUCGAGUGGCGAACGGGUGAGUAACACGUGGGUGAUCUGCCCUGCACUUCGGGAUAAGCCUGGGAAACUGGGUCUAAUACCGGAUAGGACCACAUUUUGGAUGGUGUGGUGGAAAGUUUUUCGGUGUGGGAUGAGCUCGCGGCCUAUCAGCUUGGUGGGGGGGUAAUUGCCUACCAAGGCGUCGACGGGGAGCCGGCCUGAGAGGGUGUACGGCCAGAUUGGGAAUGAGAUCCGGCCCAGACUCCUUCGGGAGGAAGCAGGGGGGAAUAUUGCAAAAUGGGCGCAAGCCUGAUGCCGCGACGCCGGGUGGGGGAUGACGGCCUUCUGGUUGUAAACUCCUUUCGCUAGGGACGAAGCGCAAGUGACGGUACCUGGAGAAGAAGCACCGGCUAACUACGUG